Eriocheir sinensis (Chinese mitten crab) is the source of this 478-nucleotide long non-coding RNA. RefSeq lists it as uncharacterized. NCBI's taxonomy places the organism in Eukaryota, Metazoa, Arthropoda, Malacostraca, Decapoda, Varunidae. The record is from RefSeq and is a predicted model, not a curated record. The transcript has 3 exons.
ACUAUCCUAUCUAUCUCGACAAAAUAUACGGUGGGACAUUAUUGGUAAGGCAAUUCAAAGCGGGGGAUUGUGGGUAAAGAGCUGAGCAUUAGUGACGAGGAUGACGUGACGUGUUCCUCCCCUCCCCCAGAGCGGCGCGCGUCGUCCAAGAGGCAGGAAGUGUCUGUGACCUUGUGCGUGUGUGCCCGGCGGCGGUGCGUUUCCUUUGUCCCGUGUGCCCGGCGGGGGUGUUUUGCGCGACUCUUUUGUGCGCCCGGCGUUGUGUGUGUGUCUAAGAGGGGUCAUGUAUUUGGUGGAGGCGGCUGCAUCACAACGAUAAAGUGAAGACGAAGAGAAAGAAGAGCGAAGAGGAGGAGGAAAGUUUUGCAUCCUUGGAGGACUCGCCUCCCGUUCGUUUCUCGGAGCCGCUUUUAAUUCCCGCCUUAUCGAGGGUGACCUGCAUCGGGAACACUCCGCCGGGACCCAUCGAGGAGCCGGU